RNAcentral lists this long non-coding RNA (13524 nucleotides) under Capsicum annuum. Its description in RNAcentral is "long non-coding RNA (CANN_LNC021079)". Lineage: Eukaryota; Viridiplantae; Streptophyta; Magnoliopsida; Solanales; Solanaceae. The record is from RNAcentral.
CAGUCUUCGUCGGUGGGUAGCGAAACUCAUCGAACCUAUAGUGUGCAAUGAGCCACCUAUUUGAGAUGCUCUAUUAGCCUUUGCCUGUUCCCUCCUCUCCCUAUAUUCAGGAGUAUUCCAUUUUGCUAAGAUCUGGACUCACACAUCAGCAUACAGCCAACAAGGUUUUUCUAAGUUCCUCCAGACCUCAUACAAGUGUUCUUUGAUCCGUAGAGCUGCUUUCAAUUUGAAAAUGCAUUGUAUUUCAUUUUCAUGACAAGAAUUUCAUGCACACUUUCUGCAAAAUAGUUUAAUAUAAUGUCAUGAAAUGAGUUGACGGAUACAAAGGUAAAUUCAUCAUUGAUAGCAUACUGAAAUGGUAAAUUCUUUGAUUUUGAUUAUACCAUAAACUGAUUCCACAUAAGAAUUCUAUUUUCGAGUCAAAUCUACCCUGCGGCUCUGUGUAAAUUGGUUUAACUGCUUCUAUAACCAUAUGUCCACCGCUAUAUGCGGGAAUGAACCUGCAUAAAUCCAAUGAUAGAAUUCUUUGUUAUGUAGAAAUCUUUGAGCAAGUCAAGUUUAUUUGGGUUAAGUUCAUUCAUAAGUCCAAUGAUAGAAUUCAUGCCCUCUUGGAAAUAGAAUAGUGUAACUUAAUACUCAGUAACCGAACGGCAAUAGAUAACUUAGAAUGAACCGAUCCUUCAUACAAUGGAUGACUAUCUUUCUUUAACUAUUCAUAAAAGUGAUUAGUCUCAUCAUUUGGUUCAUUUUGAGCCCCUGAGUAUGUCCCAAAAGCAUCCCUGACCAUCUCACUAUAUCAUGAACUUUCAACAUCAUUCUUUCUUAUUGGACUUUCAACAUAAUUCUGAAAAGCAAAAUUAUUAGCAGCAUUACUCUCUCCAUGAGUUGUCCACACAGUAUAAUUCAACAUAAAACCCUUUUUAUAAAGAUGUAAUGUAACAACAUCUGGACUCAAUAACUUGCAACACUUGCAAUUCCAACAAGGACACCUAAUUAUCCCUUCAGUAAGAAAAUCAUUAAGUGUCAUUGCUUUAGUAAUAAAUCCAGCUACCCCAUUUUUAUAUUCCUUCCUCAACUCCACACGGUUAGGAUAAAGUCUAUUAUACAUCCAUGUACUAUCUUUAUUUUCCAACUACACAACAAUGACAAUAAUAAUGUAACGACCCUCAAAUUUGGUACCCGAAAUGCUACACGGUGCUUAUGACCCCGAAGGACCACAAGCUAACCCAUGACUGAUAUCUAUACCUGUAUACUACAUAAUAUACUGAGCAAUCCAGAAACAUGAACUGAAAGGCCAUAAGGUUCACACAACUGAAGUAAAACAUAACAUCUAAAACCGGGUAUGAAAUACCCAAAAACACUGAAAUAACUGUCUAAACAUAAUAGUCUAGAAAGCCUCUAACUAAUUAAACUGUUUGAGUAAGGAGUUGAUGGGACAUGUCCCCAACUAACUCCAACUAAUAAACUAAUUAAAGAGAUAAUAGAGAAAUAAUCAUGUCUUUGAAGGAUGAGGACUCACUUCUAACUCUGACUGCUGAUAUCUAGAAUCUACUGAUGCUCUGGAACUUGUGUCUCUGAACCUAUGGUAUAAGACACUAUAGUGCAAAUGCGUCAGUACUUUGAAUGUACUGGUAUGCAUAUGAGGUAAGCUGAAUGCAUGGGGUUUAUAUGUAUGAAUAAAUAUAAUAACAGACUGACUAUCACGAGUGUGAGAGUACGUGCAUGAGACAUAAAAACUGACAUGAUACUAUGAUAACAUGAUUAAUGAUAACUAAAAUAUACAACUAAUAACAUGAGUGACAGUAUCUGACAGUCUUAAAUCUAAUGGAACUGAGUUCCGUACUGUAUCUGAAUUGACUAUAUUUGACAGUCUAGAAAUCUGAAGAACUAUCUGAGUUCUUGACUGAUACUGAUACUGAAAUUAUGAAAAGUAGUCAUCUAACCGACAUGCCCUAAGUGAUGCAUUAUAGCUGAAUUGGGGUCCAAUAUGUUCCAUGAUUGGAAGGGUGUCAAUACCGAGCCACUGGUAAGGACAACAUGUGAGAGACCCUAAUAUAACAGGUAACUCUAAUGAGAACGGUGGGAACCCUCAUAUAGCAGGUUAAUCCACCUCAUCUACCCUCAUAUAGCAGGCUAUGAUGUCUUAACCUAUGCUGGCUACAUAGUUAUGGAAUGCAAGGAUUUAUUCUAAGAAUCACACCCUCAUAUAGCAGGUGAGUUCCCAUCCUUGGGUUUACUCGGUGAUAAUUUCUACUCCCAUCUGAAUAGACAAUGAACAUGAUUUACUGAACUGAACAUGUGCUGAGUUACUAAAUUCCGUUGACUGAUAGAAUACUACUGAUAUUUGACAACUGACUGAGUUUAUGAGAUCAUGGAGUUUCCUGAGUCAUAAGACUGUCUGAAGUCUAAGAAUUCAUAGCUUGACUGAAAAUAUCAUGAAAACAUGACAUGGUUCUAGGCACACAACUGAUGUUUCAGGUACAAGCACCCCCAGGACUCGAUAGAAGGAAACUGACAAAGCAUGACUUGCUUGAAUACAUAAUAAUCACCAUAAUGCAUUUACUGAAGCAUUUCAUCAAACAUAUGAUAGGCAUAAGCUUGUACAUACAUGGGGAUUUCAUGAUAACAUGCUAGUUAGGCAAUUUUCCUUCAUUUAGGCAUUAAAUCAAACAUAUUGUAGGCAUGGUACAUGUAAACAUCAUUGUACAACAAUUAAACAUCAUGGUCACAUUCUAAUUUUAUCAUUCAAGGGUUUAGUCAUAGGUUUGCAUGAAUAUAUAUCUAUAAUAAUUAAACCCACAUAGAAAUUAUCACCCAACAUGGAGUAGAAUUCAAUUUCUAAUUUAUCAACAUGAACAAGAAUAACCCAAUCAUGAAAUCAUAAAGAAAAUCCAUAACUUGAAGUUGGAAAAGGGAUUCAUGGACUUCAUGGACGAAAGAAGUCCAUGAAUGAACACUAUGCAUACCUGGGUUGAGUUUCUUGAAGUUCUUGAACUUCAAGAAUUUGAAUCUCUUAGUUCUUGAAGAAGAUUUGGAUUUUGUUCUUGGAGAUUAAUGUUAGAGAGAAAACCCUAGUUUUGUUGUUGUGAAAGAAUAACGAAUUUUUGAGCUUUGGUCAGAUAUAAUUGGGUAUAUAAACGGGUGGUAAAAGAUCAAAAAGCCCCUUUUAAAACUCCUUUAAUUUGCUGAAUUGGGACCUACAACGGCUCGUACGACGGUCCAUCACUUGGGUGACGGUCCGUCGUUUCGACCGUCGUACAUGGACCAAGUAAAAGGCUUACUGCCUUAGUAGCGAUGGCCUGGGCGAUGGUCCGUGGCAAGUUCAAUGGUCCGUCAACCUGCCCGUUGCACCUUAUCCAGAAGGUAGCCUCACUGUUUCCCUUACGAUGGUCAUGGGCGACAGUCCGUCGCUAGUCUUGCGGUCUGUCGGCCUCACGGUCGCACUUGGAAGGUCUAUAACUUUCUCCUUCGAUAUCAGAUUUUGAUGAAAUUGGUAUCAUUGGAAAGCUAAUUAAAUUUCCCACAUGAAAAAAAGUGAAAAUCUUAAAAAUACCAUAUGUACAAAAGUGGAUUCAUCUUUCCAAGAAAGCUUCUAAUAUUCUUGAGAUGAUUUCAAGCUAGGAAAAGUACGGGGUAUUACAAUAUCUCUCCUUUGAGAACAUUCUUCCUCGAAUGAGACUGAGUGAGGGGAAAGAAUAACCAAUGUACAUACUGAACAUGAAUACUGAAACAUGAUCUCAUGACCGACAUGACUGAUAACUGAACAUAUCAUACUGAACAUGCAUAUCUGAUGCAUGUUCAUGAAUACAUGACUGGGUGUUUUGAUGAACUAAGUUUCUCACAGUGAGAAUGCAUGUCGGAUGCAUAAUUAUAUAAAUAAGCUGAUAAAUAAAUAUAUGACUGAAUAUACAAUGGUAUUUAAUACCAAGUUUGUGAUGAACACUGAACAUGAAACUAGGUAAGCUUAAGGAGAAAUGUUACCUUGAGCUUGAUCUGAGUUGGCAGAGGAAAGGUGAGGAUAAUUGGUAUGCAUGUCUACUUUUGUUUCCCAAGUAUCUCCCUCGAUUGAAUGAUUUUUCCAAAGAACUUUAACUAGAGGGACUUCUUUGUUCCUCAAUCUACGAGUCUGAUAGUCUAGGAUUUCAAUUAUAAUCUCUUCAUAAGAGAGGCUGAGGCUGUUCUGAACAUCAAUGCUCUGAAUAGGGACUACAACUGUUGGGUCACCUAUACAUUUCUUAAGCAAAGAGACAUGGAAGACUGGAUGAACUGAGGCUAGAUCUGAAGGCAAUUCGAGCUCAUAAGCUACCUUGCCAAAGCGACUGAGAAUCUUAAAGGGACAGAUAUAUCGGGGACUGAGCUUUUCCUUAUUGUUGAAACUCUUCACUCCCUUCUUGGUAGAGAUAUUUAGAUAGACAUGAUCACCAAUCUGAAACUCGAGAUCCUUUCUAUGAAUAUUUGCAUAAGAUUUCUAUCGACUCUGAGCAGCCCAGAGUCUUUCUCUGAUCAACUGGACUUUUUCUAAUGUGUCGAAUACCAAGUUAAGCCCUAUAACUGAGGCCUCACUAACUUCGAACCAACCAAUCGAGGAUCUACAUCUCCUACCAUAGAGAGCUUUGAAUGGAGCCAUGUGAAUACUGAAAUGAUAGCUAUUGUUGUAUGCAAAUUAAAUCAAAGGCAAGUAGUCAUCCCAACUACCCUUGAAAUCAAUUGCACACGUCCUUAGCAUAUCUUUUAAAGUCUGAAUGGUCCUUUCUUCUUGACCAUCUUUCUGAGGAUGAAAGGCUGUACUAAGAUGAACUUGGGUACCAAGACCCUUUUGGAAUACUUUCCAGAAAUGAGAGGUGAACUGGGUACCUCCGUCUGAGAUAAUAGAUAAUGGAACACCAUGUAAUCUGACCAACUCCCUAAUAUAGAGUAUGGCAUAAUCCUUGGCUGAAUAAGAGGUAUGAACUGGAAGGAAAUGGACUAAUUUGGUUAUUUUGUCUACGAUUACCCAAACUGAAUCAUGCUGAUGACUAGUUUGAGGCAAACCUGUCAUGAAGUCCAUGUUAACUUCUUCCCACUUCUAAGUAGGAAUAAUGAACUCCUGCAUAUGACCACUAGUCUUCUAAUGCUAUAUCUUAACCUGCUGACAUAUAGAGCACUUAGCCACAAACUCAGUAGUAUCUCUCUUCAUCCCACUCUACCAAUAGACUUCCUGCAAGUCAUGGUACAUCUUUGUGGCCCCUGGAUGAAUAGAGUAGCACGCACCAUGCGCUUCUGCAAGAAUUUACUGCCUUAAGUCAUCUAUAGCUGGAACACACAGACGAUCCUGGCAACGCAGAACACCGUCCCCCCAUUGGGAGAAAACCUCUACUUUCUGAUCCUUGACUGACUCUUUUAACUUGACAAGGCUAGGAUCCCUAUCUUGCUUUUCUUCUACCUCGAAAACUAGAGAUGAUUCUAAACUACUCUGAACCCAUAUAUCACCCUUCCCUGUAUCAACUAAGCGAACGUCUAGUCUUGGAAGCUGAUGAAAUUUCUGACUUAGCUCCUUCUUACUAUCCUCGACAUGAACAACACUACCCAUAGACAGUCUACUAAGAGCGUCUAUGUUGGCCUUGUACGGAUGAUAAAGGAUGCUCAUGUCAUAAUCUUUCAAGAGAUCCAACCACCUUCUCUGAAGAAGAUUGAGAUCUUUAUGAGAAAAGACAUACUGAAGGCUCUUAUGAUCCGUGAACACAUCUACAUGAACACUGUAUAGAUAAUUCCUCCAAAUCUUCAAGGCAAAUACUACGAUGGUUAACUAAAGAUUAAGAGUAGGGUAAUUAUUCUCAUGGGGCUUAAGUUAUCUAGAGGCGUAGGAUAUGACCUUACUAUGCUGCAUGGGGACACAACUUAAACCUACUCUGGAUGCAGCACAAUACACUAUGAACCCAUCUAAACCAUCUGGUAAUGCUAGAACUAGAGCUGAGGUGAGUCAAGUCUUCAACUCCUGAAAACUCUUCUCGUAAGGAUCUGACCACUUAAACUUGACUUUCUUUUGAGUCAAUCUGGACAUAGGGGAUGCAAUAAAAUAAAAUCCCUCAAUAAACCAUCUAUAAUAUCCAGCCAAACCCGACAAACUCCUGAUAUCUGAUGGAGAGAUAGGGCGAGGCUAGUUUAUUACUGCCUCGGUCUUUUGAGGAUCUACUCUAAUGCCAUCACCAAAAAUGAUAUGACUAAGGAACGCUACUGACCUUAGCCAAAAUUCGCACUUACUGAAUUUGGCGAAUAGCUGAUGAUCUCUGAGAGUCUGAAGUACUAUUUUGAGAUGGUCUAUAUGAUCUCGCUCACUGUGGGAAUAGAUCAGAAUAUCAUCUAUGAAGACUAUGAUGAAUAUGUCCAAGUACUACUUAAACACACGGUUCAUCAAGUCCAUAAAAGCGGUUAGGGCAUUGGUAAGACCAAAUGACAUAACUAAGAAUUCAAAGUGACCAUACCGAGUACGGAAGGCUGCUUUUGGAAUGUCACAUUCUCUGACUUUGAGCUGAUGAUAGCCAAAUCUGAGGUCUAUCUUUGAGAAAUAGCUAGCACCCUGAAGUUGGUCAAAUAAGUCAUCAAUUUUGGGAAGAGGAUACUUGUUCUUAACCAGACCAUAUUUAGUUGACGGUAGUCUAUAUACAUUCUGAGAGAACCGUCUUUCUUGCGCAUGAAUAAUACUAAAGUGCCCCAUGGGGACACACUGGGCUUGAUGAAUCUCUUAUCUAAGAGAUCCUUCAACUGUUCUUUCAGUUCUCUGAGUUCUGCUGGUGCCAUUCUAUAUGGCGGAAUGGAUAUAGGCUGAGUGUCUGAAAGAAGAUCAAUACCGAAGUCUAUUUCCUUUUUAGGAGGAAUUCCUGGAAGAUCUUCGGGAAAGACAUCUGAAUAUUCAUUCACAACUGGGACUGAUUCAAGACUGGGAGUUUUGGAACUAGUGUCCCUAACUCUGAACAAGAUGAUAGACAUAUCCUUUAGAUAUCAUUUUCUAUGCCCGAAGGUAGGAAAUAAACUGACCUCUGAAAGCGGAUACACUACUCUUCUACUCAAGGACGGAUUCAUUCAAAAACUAAAACUGGACUAUUCUAUUUUUGCAGUCGACUGUGGCAUAGCAGUAAUGAAUCUAAUCCAUACCGAGAAUGACAUCAAAAUCAGUCAUCUCUAAUUCGACAAAGUCUGCUAAGAUGACUUUUUGAAAUAUCAUAAUCGAGCAGUUCCUGUAUACCCACCGGGCUAUGAUGGUUUUACCUACUAGGGUAGAGACUGAAAAGGGCUCUGUUAGAAUUUUGGAACUGACUCUGAAAUUAACUGCUAUAUAAGAAGUGACAAAAGACAAAGAAUCUCCUGGAUUUAGAAAAACAUAAACAUGCACAUGAAAGAUCUAUAACGUACCGGUAACCAUAUCAGGAGAAUUUUCCUAAUCUUUUUAGGACUGAAGAACAUAGAGACGAUUUGGGCAUUGCCUACUAGUUACACUUGGAAAUGACACCAUUUGAUUUGGGCGACUAGACUGAACUGAGGAGCAAUUCUGUUGACCCUGAGAACCUGGCUGAGGACAGUCUAUGACUCUGUGGCCUGGCUUGCCAUAUCAGAAGCAAAUACCACUGCCAGCUCUAUAAAUACCCUGACGGUGCUUGCCAUAAGUCUGGCAAAGAGGAUAGGUGCGGGCACUGCUAACACUGCCCUUGGACUUGGAGCCUGGCGCUCCAUCUUUUUUACCCUCUCUUAACUUAGGAAUUGGAGUACUGGAUGAAGAAGGAGCUAGAACUGAUGACUUAGGACAAAACUAAGAACGGUUUCCUCCUUCUGACUUAGGAUGAGCAAAGCUGAAACUACAUGUCUUCGCUCUCUUAUUCUGCUUCUCCCUAAUCUUAAUAUUCUGCUCCUCUAACUGCUGAUCAUGAGUCAUGAGCCUAGCUAAAGUCAUGUCACUAUUCAGCAUGGCAGAUCUACCCUCAUUAACCACGUUAUCAUUCACCCCUGGAAUGAACUUACUCAUUUUUUUCCUGCUAUCUGCAGCCACAUGAGGGGCAUAUCUGGCUAAUUGAGUAACUUAAGAGAAUACUCUUUCACUGUCAUAUUUCCCUAUUGAUGAAUUCUAGUACCUUAGCUUCUCUAAGAUCUAGGGGAAAGAAUCUAUCAAGGAAUGCUGAAGCAAAUUCCUCCCACUCAAUUGAACCUGCAUCGUCUUCCCUCUCUAACUUCCACUGCUUGAACCAAGUAUGAGCCAUAUCUGUAGCUCAUAUGCAUCUAGCUCAGCACUCUCACUAGACGUAACCCCCAUUAUGUCUGUAACCUUUUACAUCUGAUCUAGGAAUUCCUAAGGGUCCUCAUUUGUCUUAGACCCAAGAAAGUAUGGAGGAUUCAUUCGGGUGAAGUCCCGAAUCCUGGCUGUAACUGAAUUGGCCACUGUGUUGGCUGGAACGACAGCUGGUCAUUCAUUCUGAGCAGAAACUGACUGAACAAGAGUAGUGAAUGCAGCUUUGAACUUUGCAUGAGAAACAUGUUCGUCCAAGGGAUCUUCUUGGACAGGCUGAGUUCUUCUCUUGGGAAGCAUGUUCUGAAAAAAAGAAAAGAAAUGAAUUAGACUGACAGAUUAGAUUGAGAUUAUGCUCACUGGCACGACAUGAAUACUUAAAGAAGGAAAACUGUUCCUAAAACCCCUUUGAGCCUCCUGCAUAUAAAUGUGGCGCGUAACACACCCAUGUAUAAGACUCUACUAGAUGUGACUUUCAGGCUUCCUAGGACUCUAUUGAACCUUAGGCUCAGAUACCAAGUUUGUAAUGCCCCAAAUCUGUUACCCGGAAUGCUACACGAUGAUCAUGACCAUGAAGGACUACAAGCUAACCCAUGACUGAUAUCUGUACCUGUAUACUACAUAAUAUACUGAGUAAUGCAGAAAUAUGAACUGAAACACCAUAAGGUUCACAUAACUGAAGUAAAACAUAACAUCUAAAAUGGGGUAUGAAAUACCCAAAACAACUGAAAUAAUUGUCUGAACAUAAUAGUCUGGAAAGCCUCUAACUGACUGAACUGUCUGAGUAAGGAGUUGAUGGGACAUGCCCCCAACUAACUCCAACUAAUAAACUAAUUAAUGAGAUAAUAGAGAAAUAAUCAUGUCCUUAAAGGAUGAGGACUCACUUCUAACUCUGACUACUGAUAUCUGGAAUCUGCUGAUGCUCUAGAACUCGUGUCUCUAAACCUAUGGUAUAAGACACCAUAACGCAAAUGCAUCAGUACUUUGAAUAUACUGGUAUGCAUUUGAGGUAAGCUAAAUGCAUGGGGUUUAUAUACAUGAACAAAUAUAAUAACAGAUUGACUAUCAUGAGCGUGAGAGUACGUGCAUGAGACAUAAAAACUGACACUGAUAUCGUGAUAACAUGAUUACUGAUAACUGAUAUAACUGAUAACAUGAGUGACUAUAUCUGACAAUCCUGAAUCUGAUGGAACUAACUGAGUUGAGUUCCGUACUGUAUCUGAAUUGACUGUGUCAGACAGUCCUGAAAUCUGAAGAACUAUCUGAGUUCUUGAUUGAUACUGAUAUUGAAAUUAUGGAAAGUAGUCAUCUAACCGACAUGCCCCAAGUGAUGCAUUAUAGCUGAAUUGGGGUCCAAUCUAUGCCCUGAUUGGAAGGGUGUCAAUACCGCGCCACUGGUAAGGACAACAUGUGAGUGACCCUAAUAUAAUAGGUAACUCUAAUGAGAAUGGUGGGAACCCUCAAGUAGCAGGUUAAGACACCUCAUCUACCUUCAUAUAGCAGGCUAUGAUGUCUCAACCUAUGCUGGCAACAUAGUUUUGGAACGCAUGGAUUGCUUCUAAGAAUCACACCCUCAUAUAAUAGGUGAGUUCCCAUCCUUGGGUUCACUCGGUGCUAAUUUCUACUCCCAUCUGAAUAGACACUGAACAUGCUUUACUGAACUGAACAUGAGCUAAGUUACUGAAAUCCGUUGACUGACGGAAUACUACUGAUAUCUGAUAACUGACUGAGUUCAUGAGAUCAUAGAGAUUUCCUGAGUCAUAAGACUGUCUGAAGUCUAAGGAUUCAUAGCUUGACUGAGAGUAUCGUGAAAACAUGACAUGGCUCUAGGCACACAACUGNNNNNNNNNNNNNNNNNNNNNNNNNNNNNNNNNNNNNNNNNNNNNNNNNNNNNNNNNNNNNNNNNNNNNNNNNNNNNNNNNNNNNNNNNNNNNNNNNNNNNNNNNNNNNNNNNNNNNNNNNNNNNNNNNNNNNNNNNNNNNNNNNNNNNNNNNNNNNNNNNNNNNNNNNNNNNNNNNNNNNNNNNNNAUUGUACAACAAUUAAACAUCAUGGUCACAUUCUAAUUUCAUCAUUCAAGGGUUUAGUCAUAGGUUUGCAUGAAUCUAUAUCUAUAAUAAUUAAACCCACAUAGAAAUUAUUACUCAACAUGGAGUAGAAUUCAAUUUCUCAUUUAUCAACAUGAACAAGAACAACCCAAUCAUGAAAUCAUAAAGAAAAUCCAUAACUUGAAGUUGAAAAAGGGAUUCAUGGACUUCAUGGACGAAAGGAAUCCAUGAAUGAACACUAUGCAUACUUGGGUUGAGUUUCUUGAACUUCAAGAAUUUGAAUCUCUUAGUUCUUGAAGAAGAUUUGGAUUUUGUUCUUGGAGAUUAAUGUUAGAGAGAAAACCCCAGUUUUGUUGUUGUGAAAGAAUAAUGAAUUUUUGAGCUUUGGUCGGAUAUAAUUGGGUAUAUAAACGGGUGGUAAAAGAUCAAAAAUCCCCUUUUAAAACUCCUUUAAUUUGCUAAAUCAGGACCUGCAACGGCUUGUGCGACGGUCCGUCGCUUGGGCAACGGUCCGUCGUUUCGACCGUUGUACAUGGACCAAGAAAAGGGCUUACUGCCUUAGUAGCGAUGGCCUGAGCGACGGUCCGUCGCAAGUUCGACGUUUCGUCAACCUGCCCAUCGCACCUUAUCCAAAAGGUGGCCUCACUAUUUUCCUUACGAUGGUCGUGGGCGAUAUACCGUUGCUAGUCCUGCGAUCUGUCAGCAUCACCUUCGCACUUGGGAGGUUUUUACUGCCUUCUGUAUUUUGGCCAUAACUUUCUCCUCAGAUGUAGGAUUUUGAUGAAAUUGGUAUCAUUGGAAAGCUAAUUCAAUUUCCCACAUAACAAAAAGUGAAAAUCUUAAAAAUACCACAUGUACAAAAGUGGAUUCAUCUUUCCAAGAAAGCUUCAAACAUUCUUUAGAUGAUUUCAAGCUAGGAAAAGUACGGGGUAUUACAAAUAAUAAUAGAGAAGAGAAACAAAAACAAGAGAAAUAAAACAAUAACAGGUUUAUUUAGAGAUGCUACUACGCAGUGGACACAAGAAGAAAACUAAGAGAUUCAAUACAACAUAGUAAAGCAACCAGCAACAAUAAAAUAUUUUAAUUAAAAGAAGAAUUUUUUUAUCAGUGGAAGGAAUCCAAUCCAUGUGAUAGCUUCACGAACAAGAUAAAAGAAAGGCAAAAAGGGAGACACACAGAUGGGGUAAAGAAUUCAGAAAGCACCAAAUCUGAUAUAAGUUACAUAAUUUUUUGCAAUAUGUUGAGAAGAUUUGAAGAAGUGGUCCAUGAGGCAGCAGACUGAAUAUAACGAGAACAAAUUUAUUUUAUGAGCAACUUUUUGUUUCAAUAAAGAGGCAUUCAGGAAUUUAAUUGAAUCAAAACUUGGCUGGAAUACUAAAAGAAAACCUUAACCAGAACCUCUAAGCGCACCCCUCAACUUAAAUAAAAUAAAUUUUUUAUCCUAAAUUGAUACCACACAAACACAAUGAAUUUGAAUUUCACAAAAGUUAGUAUUCAAAAGCUAAUCUUAGUUAGAAAGAAAUUAACAAUGCCCAAUCAUUACUCCAUGUUCCUUUUUUUGCAGAUGCACACACCAAAGGCAACAUCAACAAGAAAUUUGUAUGUGGGAUGAUGGAGGAAAAGUACUAGAUUAUGGAUAGUACUUCUCUUAAGAGUUCUUAAGGUUUUAGUUUAAUUAGUGAUGGAUAAAACAAUAAUAAAAGGAGAAAAAGUGAUUAGUUUUGUAGAGAAAGAACUGAAAGAGAGCCGGCCAGGACUAUCUUCUGGAGUGACUAAUAACUUAAACGCUGAACUACUGAUUGCAUAGAGUUUGGCUUUAUUAGAAUUUGAACGUCAAAUUGGUUUUCAUACUAAUUGUCACUACAUGAUACGUUAGUUUGACUAUGUUCCAAGGCUAUAUUUGUUGGUCUUGUUUGCAGUCUGAUGUUCAUUUGAUAUUCACAUCAUAAGGAGGCUUUGUCACUACAUAAUACACUAGCUCGACUAUGUUCCUAGGCUAAUUUUGUUGGUCAUGUUUGCAGUCUAAUGUACAGAUCUUCGUAACAUUCACCUUCACAACUAUGAAUGGUAUUGAUUGAUAGGAGUGACCGCUUUCUAGUUGUAGCUGGUACCUCCCAGAUUCACUUCAGCAUGUAAUGAACACUAAGAGAAGAAUCAAAGUUCUUCUAGGCAUAUUGUCACUACACGAUACACUAGCUUGAGUAUGUUUGAGGUCAAUUUUGUUGGUUUUAUUUUCAGCCUAAUGUACAAAGCUUUGUUUAACAUUUUACCCUAUAAGCAGGAUAGGAUUCAUUCUAUCAUUCAAGCUUAAAAAAUGAAUGGAUGAGCACUUCUAGAUUAUCAAGAGUGAGUUACCUAAUUGUCACCCUACCGUCUAAGAUAUAUGGUAUGGAUGGUAAGUGGUUUUAUAUUCAAAACCAUUUCAACUCGCUUCUAAGUAGUUUUCUAGCCAUUGUUACUUUGUAAUGUAUAGGUACGAACUUGAGUAAAUUUGUUGGAGCAAAAAAAAUAAAUGACUUUACUAGGUAAAUUCAUUAAGUUUGAGUGAUCAUUUGAGGAAUUAACUCCUAGAUUUUAAGCUUCUUCUGAACUUGGAAAUUAUCUCAUGUGAUAGUGAAGAACUAAGAACAGAAGUACAUUCACUGUAAACAUAAAGCACUAUACGUAAAGAGAAACAUAAAUAUUACAUGUUUUGCCUGUGGGCCAACGGAGGGUUUAGCAGUACUAAAUAAGCCAGAUACAAAAUUGUUUUCUUUUACUAAGUCACAGAAAUACUCGGUUCAUGUUUUGGAUUACCAAAACUAUAAGAUUAUCAGUUCAAAUUCUAUCAACUUGGCAAUUUAGUCACUUCUUAGUGAGGUUUAGAAUAUUGGAUAGGGAUUCAAACAACUGUACUUGAAGAAUAGCAAAAUAUUUAUAUAUAAAUAUACUAACUCUCAAUUCCUAAUAGCGAAAUAUUUAUACACGACAAUGGAUAAACAGCCAAACAAGAGAAACAAGGUAGUACUUAGAAAAUGGAACAAAUUUUUUUACCUCGAAUCAGUGAAGAUAGGAAUUUCUUGAUUGACCUUCAAUACCGUCGUUCAGUGAAAUUAUACCAUCAAUACCGUCGUUAAUCAUCGCCAUUAUCCACAGUCGCCAAUUAUUAAGAGAGAAUGCUGUUAUCACUCCACUGUCGCCAAUUUUUGAGAGAGCCCUAGCUUAGAGAGAGGGACAACUUAGAG